UUUACCUUCAACUUUCUUUUGUCCUUUUUAUAAAAGGUACAUCCUUUAAAAAUAGAAUAUGGUUAAUUAGCUUGUUUUAAUGAAUUUGAAAAUGCCUCUCAACAGAUGAGCUAACUUAAGCACGUUUAUGUUGACUGUCUCCCCUGAAUAUCUGCUAUGUUGCUUUGUGUUUUCUCUUCACCGUGAUAUCUUGGUUUCUUCUCUCCACGUUCUUGGAUUUUGUUAGAUGCAUCAUGUUUUCUUUUUUCUACCUGCUUUUGUUUUGCAUUUCCUAAACUGAAAAUGAUCCUUCUAUUUUUAUUUGUUUAAUGUUUCCUUUGUCACUUUAGCAGAAAUGUUCAAACUUAUACUUUUUAAAACAAUGAUUUAAAUUAAUUGAGCAUCUAUAUAUACACCCUAAAAGACAUAAACUAAGAUGUGUUUGCAUCCUUUAACUUCCAAUUCUGUCCUCCACCCCCACCUCAGGCACCUCUUCCCUUCCUCCCCACACACAUGUGUGUUAAAUGUUUGUUUUUUAAUGUUUUAAUAAUCAAUACCUAUUUAAACUUUACAGUAACACUGAGUAAUUAACUUACCACUACUUCUUGAAUUUCAAUAAUUCCUCCUGGCUUCAUUUUUCUACUUUCUCUGAUAUCUUCUUUGGUAAUUCUUUUACAAAAUACCUCUCAGGGACCCAUAUGGUGAGCCUUUAUAGAUCUGAAAUCCCCUUAUAUUAGUCCCACUUUUGAAUCAUAGUUUAUCUUUCUAUAGAAUUCUGUGACAUGAGGUGGCUUGGAAGCUGGUCUCUGGGCACAGUCUGCUAUGAGCCCUGCCAGACCUCUCGAACAAAUGCGUUCUCACAGACGUUUCCAUUGGAGGUGAUUACGUUUAAGACAGCUUUUCAGUAUGAGCUCUUGAAGACGGGUGUGUCAGUCCCUUUCCGGCUGCUGGAACAACGUUAUCACAACGUUCACUCCCCACAGUUCUAGAGAAGCCGAGACGUGUGAGGUCAUGGUGCCAGCAAAUUCAGUGUCGGGAAAGAUGGAAGAGGAAGACUCUACAGAAAGAAGAUAUUUAUGGAAACCAUCAAGAGAAUGGGGAAUGUAAUUACCACUGGUGUACAGUGGAAAUAACUUUCCUUGCUUCUUUAUUCAUUCAUUUGAUGUGAAAUCAAACAUAGAUUGCCUUUUCUCUUCAGUGGGAGCCCAGAAGUUCUACAUAGAAGGUGUUUAGGAACAGCAAUGUGACUGAAAUGAGGAGCUGGGAGACUCAUAUUGAUACUAUCUUCACACAACAAGUCAUCUUUCUUUUGUAAAAAAUAAAGCUACUGUUUCUUUUGUAUUAUUCUGUAUUCAUUUAUUUAUAGCUUGAUUUUACUUGACUAGUUUUUGGAUUUGUAGGAAAGUAAAAUUACCCUUGAGUUUCUUCCUGUGUAAAGGGUGUUUUGAAGAUACAAUUUGGCAACGGAUCAUCCACCAUAGAGUAGAAUACAGAAAAUAAUGUUGCCUGCCAUUCCAGUACUCCAAAGAUUGGGCCCUUCACCACUGCAAUUGCCCAAUGAAGUUAUACCUACCCUGAGGGGAAUUCAGGGUGGAGAAAACCAGGAAGCAUUCCAUGCCUAGGAUAUUGGCCCUAGAUGGUUUAGAUGCAUGUUUAGACAUUAAUAUAAACAAUUUCAGUGGCCCCCAAUUUUUGCAUCUUCCCGUGAGCAGAUAGAAAAGCACUGAAACCGUUAACGUGUAUGUGUGUGUGCUGAAUGUGCUCAGGCGCUCAGUCAUGUCUGAUGCUUUGU
Cervus elaphus (red deer) is the source of this 1771-nucleotide long non-coding RNA. RefSeq lists it as uncharacterized. The transcript is spliced from 4 exons. NCBI's taxonomy places the organism in Eukaryota, Metazoa, Chordata, Mammalia, Artiodactyla, Cervidae. The record is from RefSeq and is a predicted model, not a curated record.